AAGUCGUAACAAGGUUUCCGUAGGUGAACCUGCGGAAGGAUCAUUACAGCGUAUCCACGUACCAAACUCUCGAACUGUUCCCAACGGAGUAAACCUCUUGUGGAUGAAGUUUAUGAUUGACUGUCUUUCGCUGAUGGAGUACACUGAUUUCGAUCGGUGGACUGAAAGACUUUCGGUCGCCGGAGCUCGCUCUGGGACUUCGUUUGCUCCGUUGCGGUUUUACCGUCAGCGUGUUUUACCCAUUAUUAACCCUUUGACCUUUUGAACUGAACUUGACAACCUCGCAGCAGUCCUUGCUGGCUUCGGUCACGGACUUUGCGGCUUGGUAAUCAUUUUACGAAACAAAGAACAACUCUUAGCAACGGAUAUCUUGGUUCUC
This 379-nucleotide unclassified non-coding RNA is filed under the name fungal sp. RNAcentral describes it as "partial internal transcribed spacer region". The stretch from base 1 to 46 matches the Rfam family "Eukaryotic small subunit ribosomal RNA", at positions 1786 to 1831 of the family's 1831-position model. The record is from RNAcentral. Lineage: Eukaryota; Fungi.